AUAAGUUGUAGCACUUUCAACCAGGAUGGGUCGAUAUUUGCAUAUUCAGUGUGCUACGAUUGGAGUAAGGGGGCAGAAAAUCACAACCCAGCAACAGCAAAGACUUACAUUUACUUGCACCUCCCACAGGAGGCUGAGGUUAAAGGCAAGCCUCGUGUUGGGGGCGGCGGAAGAAAGUAGUCCCUGUAAAAUCCCUUUGCAUGUAUCUUUGUUGUUCUCUAAUGUCAAAUUACUAAUAGGUUUAACUAGGCUUCCAAAAAUCUUGAAUAUAUUUCUA
Molecule: unclassified non-coding RNA, 277 nt
Filed under: Hevea brasiliensis (rubber tree)
Lineage: Eukaryota; Viridiplantae; Streptophyta; Magnoliopsida; Malpighiales; Euphorbiaceae
Source: RNAcentral